Long non-coding RNA from Harmonia axyridis, 289 nucleotides. RefSeq lists it as uncharacterized. NCBI's taxonomy places the organism in Eukaryota, Metazoa, Arthropoda, Insecta, Coleoptera, Coccinellidae. The record is from RefSeq and is a predicted model, not a curated record. The transcript is spliced from 2 exons.
AAAUUCUGUUUGCAAUAUUGCACAUCUAUGUUACUUCAUAAUGACAACUAACUGCGAAACAUUUCUAUCAAUAAUUUGUGGGAUAUUAAUUUUUGUUAAUGUGGGACUUUUAAUCAAUACUGUACUGGGUGUUUUCACGCGUUGUAGGGAUCCAGCUGAAGAACUGCAUCCUAAUAUUACAAAAGAAGCCUUGGUACCCUGAGCCUCUUUCUAUGCAGAUCAUUAGAUUGGUUAUUAUUGAUGAUUGUUCAAGGAAUGCCUAAUCAAAUAAAAUAUUUAUUGAUCUCAA